UAGAGUUUGAUCCUGGCUCAGGAUGAACGCUGGCGGCGUGCCUAACACAUGCAAGUCGAGCGAGAAGUUACUCAAUGAAUCUUCGGAAGAAUUGAGUAAUGGAAAGCGGCGGACGGGUGAGUAACGCGUGGGCAACCUGCCUUUCACAGAGGGAUAGCCAAAGGAAACUUUGAUUAAAACCUCAUAAAGCCGGAAUAGUGCAUAAUAUACCGGCCAAAGAUUUAUCGGUGAAAGAUGGGCCCGCGUCUGAUUAGCUAGUUGGUGGGGUAACGGCUCACCAAGGCAACGAUCAGUAGCCGACCUGAGAGGGUGAUCGGCCACAUUGGAACUGAGACACGGUCCAAACUCCUACGGGAGGCAGCAGUGGGGAAUAUUGCACAAUGGGCGCAAGCUUGAUGCAGCAACGCCGCGUGAACGAAGAAGGCCUUCGGGUCGUAAAGUUCUGUCCAUAGGGAAGAAACAAAUGACGGUACCUAUGGAGGAAGCCCCGGCUAAAUACGUGCCAGCAGCCGCGGUAAUACGUAUGGGGCAAGCGUUAUCCGGAAUUAUUGGGCGUAAAGAGUGCGUAGGUGGUGGCUUAAGCGCAGGGUUUAAGGCAAUGGCUUAACUAUUGUUCGCCUUGCGAACUGGGUCACUUGAGUACAGGAGAGGAAAGCGGAAUUCCUAGUGUAGCGGUGAAAUGCAUAGAUAUUAGGAGGAACACCGGUGGCGAAGGCGGCUUUCUGGACUGCAACUGACACUGAGGCACGAAAGCGUGGGUAGCAAACAGGAUUAGAUACCCUGGUAGUCCACGCCGUAAACGAUGAGCACUAGGUGUCGGCCAAUAAAGGUCGGUGCCGCAGUUAACGCAUUAAGUGCUCCGCCUGGGGAGUACGCACGCAAGUGUAAAACUCAAAGGAAUUGACGGGGACCCGCACAAGCAGCGGAGCAUGUGGUUUAAUUCGAAGCAACGCGAAGAACCUUACCAGAGCUUGACAUCCCUCUGACAGAUCCUUAAUCGGAUUCUUCUUCGGACAGAGGAGACAGGUGGUGCAUGGUUGUCGUCAGCUCGUGUCGUGAGAUGUUGGGUUAAGUCCCGCAACGAGCGCAACCCUUAUCAUUAGUUGCCAUCAUUAAGUUGGGCACUCUAGUGAGACUGCCGGGGACAACUCGGAGGAAGGUGGGGAUGACGUCAAAUCAUCAUGCCCCUUAUGUUCUGGGCUACACACGUGCUACAAUGGUCGGUACAGAAAGCAGCGAAACCGUGAGGUGAAGCCAAUCUCCAAAACCGAUCUCAGUUCGGAUUGUAGGCUGCAACUCGCCUACAUGAAGUCGGAGUUGCUAGUAAUCGCAGAUCAGAAUGCUGCGGUGAAUGCGUUCCCGGGUCUUGUACACACCGCCCGUCACACCAUGGAAGUUGGGGGUGCCCGAAGUUGGACAAUAAAUCGUUUACCUAAGGCAAAACCAAUGACUGGGGUGAAGUCGUAACAAGGUAGCCGUA
This 1480-nucleotide ribosomal RNA is filed under the name Casaltella massiliensis. RNAcentral's name for it is "16S ribosomal RNA". It matches the Rfam family "Bacterial small subunit ribosomal RNA". The record is from RNAcentral. Lineage: Bacteria; Bacillati; Bacillota; Clostridia; Peptostreptococcales; Anaerovoracaceae.